This 148-nucleotide non-coding RNA is filed under the name Gorilla gorilla gorilla (western lowland gorilla). The record is from Rfam by way of RNAcentral. Lineage: Eukaryota; Metazoa; Chordata; Mammalia; Primates; Hominidae.
GCUGGGCAUGGUGGUGCAUGCCUGUAGUCUCAGCUACUCGGGAGGCUGAGACAGGAGAAUUGCUUGAACCCGGGAGACAGAGGUUGCAGUGAGCCGAGAUCGUGCCACUGCACUCCAGCCCGGGUAACAGAGUGAGACUCCGUCUCCA